GUCGGAAGUAAUAGAUAUAUAAUUUACAUUUAAUAUUACAUCAUUUCUAGAUGUUUUGCAUGAUGAGGCCGAUUUAAGAAUAUAGAAUUAUUGGUUACGAUAACUUCCGCCGCGCGGCAAGCGUUGCCGCGUUCUGUGUGCAGGAGCCAUAAAAGAGACAGUUUUCUCUGUUUAAAUCAGCUUAACUAGAAAUUAAUGGGCGACGUCUAAAACUUAAAUGGAUAUGAGAAAAAUGAUAAUUUGGUCGGUAGCACAACUUUACGCUCGAAAUUCCUGUCGAGUCGCUAGACUGUUCAAUGUCAGCGCGUAAGGAAACGAAUCUUCGAUCGAUUUGGCUCCGACAAUUAAGUGUGACCUCGAGAAAGAUAUACCCAAAUGGAAAAUAUGGGUAUAUGAGAGAAUUAGUAAGAACGUGGAAUGUUUAGAAGUUUCUUGUGGUAGGGGCGACCAAGUCCAAUCUCAUCGUAUAAAAGUCUUUGGAUCUACUGCUCCAAGAAGAGUCAGUCUUUGUUCGAAAACGUGAUCUCAGCAAGAUGGCGAUAAGAUACAUCGUGAUGCUAACUAUCAUGUUGGCUGUAAUCUACGUUCAAGCGGAGUCUCACACCGUUGCAGACGGUCAGAAUCUGCAACGGACCUUAGUUGCACCUGCGGUAUCAUCGGAAGUUCCACCGCUAAAACUGGAAGCAGUAUCAAGCGAAGUGUCAACCGAAGCAGUAUCAACCGAAACUCAAUCGCGUAACAAAAGAGCGCUACUUCUGAAAAAGGCCCUCUUAGGUGGUGCCCUCCUCGGUGCUGGAGCUUUAGGUGCCGGAGCUUUGGGUGCCGGAGCUUUGGGUGCCGGAGCUUUAGGUGCCGGAGUUCUCGGUGCCGGAGUUCUUGGCGGUGCUAAAUACUUUGGAGGACAUAGAGGAUAUGGAGGAUAUGGAGGAUAUGGAGGAUAUGAAGGAUAUGGAGGAUAUGGAGGAUAUGGAGGAUAUGGACAUAACCAUUAUCAUAGCCACUAUCCCAAUUAUGAGUAUCACUACCACAGCCAUCCCCAUUAUCAUACUUACCACCAAUCUGGUGAUGGACUAGGUUAUGGCUAUUGGUAAAGUCUCAAAAUAAAGUAUUGGUAAAGUGAGACUGACUUCGAAUCAAUGCAUUAUAAGUUCAAUCUAUAGAGAGGAAUCUCAUAAACAAAGUAACACAAAAAAAUUGAAAAAUUCUAACUCGUUCAUCCACAAUCGUGGUAAAAUCACAGCAGUGUGCAAAUGACACAGUCACUUUUCAAUUGCCUAUAUCUCCCUCAAAUAUUCAAAUUUUUUGGACUUUUGCAUCUGAUUUUGUUCAAUAAAGAAAUCUUAAUGAUAUAUUAAAAA
Acromyrmex echinatior (Panamanian leafcutter ant) is the source of this 1358-nucleotide RNA transcript. RefSeq lists it as uncharacterized. The record is from RefSeq and is a predicted model, not a curated record. NCBI's taxonomy places the organism in Eukaryota, Metazoa, Arthropoda, Insecta, Hymenoptera, Formicidae.